GAAGACACGAGGAGAUACUGUCUCAGAGAUCAGAGCUGCUACAGCAGAUGGAGACUUAUCUAAGAGACAAAAAGACUAAAAAGACAUGGCAAACUCAAGCAGCUGAUGCAGCUCAUAAAAGGAAUGCAGCACUUUUAAAUUAAUUAGGAAGAAGGAAUCAGAAAAGAGGAAAAUCCAGUGGAAGAAUAUGAGGAUAUAGAAGCAGCAGAAAAAAGGCUGCAAGAAAGAAUGUAUUUACUUCCACAUCCUGAUACUGUUAAGUUAGAAACUCUCUAUUGGGCAUCAAUAAAAGAAUCCCUUCCCAAAUGGGAAGAGUUUCUUUUAGGAAGAGCAGAAGUUCCUAUUGGCUUUAAGAAAAUGAAAGCUACAAAGCAGAGCAUAAACUACCCUGAAGAAGAUUCACAAAAAUAAACAUUUUAGUUUCA
Molecule: long non-coding RNA, 425 nt
Organism: Passer domesticus (house sparrow)
Lineage: Eukaryota; Metazoa; Chordata; Aves; Passeriformes; Passeridae
Exons: 5
Source: RefSeq, a predicted model, not a curated record